RNAcentral lists this ribosomal RNA (717 nucleotides) under Terriglobus sp. A37T17. RNAcentral describes it as "bacterial SSU rRNA". It matches the Rfam family "Bacterial small subunit ribosomal RNA", at positions 56 to 806 of the family's 1533-position model. The record is from RNAcentral. Lineage: Bacteria; Pseudomonadati; Acidobacteriota; Terriglobia; Terriglobales; Acidobacteriaceae.
UGCAGUCGCACGAGAAAGGGACUUCGGUCCUGAGUAAAGUGGCGCACGGGUGAGUAACACGUGACUUAUCUACCUCCGAGUGGGGAAUAACUGAGGGAAACCUUAGCUAAUACCGCAUAACACUUACGAGUCAAAGCAGCAAUGCGCUUGGAGAGGAGGUCGCGGCAGAUUAGCUAGUUGGCGGGGUAAUGGCCCACCAAGGCGAUGAUCUGUAUCCGGCCUGAGAGGGCGCACGGACACACUGGAACUGAAACACGGUCCAGACUCCUACGGGAGGCAGCAGUGGGGAAUUUUGCGCAAUGGGGGAAACCCUGACGCAGCAACGCCGCGUGGAGGAUGAAGUCUCUUGGGACGUAAACUCCUUUCGAUAGGGACGAUAAUGACGGUACCUAUAGAAGAAGCCCCGGCUAACUUCGUGCCAGCAGCCGCGGUAAUACGAGGGGGGCAAGCGUUGUUCGGAAUUAUUGGGCGUAAAGGGCGCGUAGGCGGUUUGGCAAGUUUGGUGUGAAAUCUUCGGGCUCAACUCGAAGUCUGCACCGAAAACUGCCGGGCUUGAGUAUGGGAGAGGUGAGUGGAAUUUCCGGUGUAGCGGUGAAAUGCGUAGAUAUCGGAAGGAACACCUGUGGCGAAAGCGGCUCCCUGGACCAUUACUGACGCUGAGGCGCGAAAGCUAGGGGAGCAAACAGGAUUAGAUACCCUGGUAGUCCUAGCCCUAAA